CCUACGGGGGGCAGCAGUGAGGAAUAUUGGUCAAUGGCCGGAAGGCUGAACCAGCCAUGCCGCGUGAAGGUCAGUGCCCUAUGGGCGUUAAACUUCUUUUGUGCGGGAGCAAUAAUGGUCACGUGUGGCCAGACGAGAGUACCGUACGAAUAAGCAUCGGCUAACUCCGUGCCAGCAGCCGCGGUAAUACGGGGGAUGCAAGCGUUAUCCGGAUUUAUUGGGUUUAAAGGGUGCGUAGGCUGUGAGGUAAGUCAGCGGGGAAAUGCCCCCGCGCAACGGGGUGAAGUGCCAUUGAUACUGCCUUGCUGGAAUGCGGAUGCCGUGGGAGGAAUGUGUGGUGUAGCGGUGAAAUGCAUAGAUAUCACACAGAACACCGAUUGCGAAGGCAUCUCACGAAUCCGCGAUUGACGCUGAUGCACGAAAGCGUGGGUAUCAAACAGGAUUAGAUACCCCAGUAGUC
RNAcentral lists this ribosomal RNA (460 nucleotides) under uncultured bacterium. Its description in RNAcentral is "partial 16S ribosomal RNA". It matches the Rfam family "Bacterial small subunit ribosomal RNA", at positions 338 to 795 of the family's 1533-position model. The record is from RNAcentral.